Molecule: long non-coding RNA, 6517 nt
Organism: Solea solea (common sole)
Lineage: Eukaryota; Metazoa; Chordata; Actinopteri; Pleuronectiformes; Soleidae
Exons: 2
Source: RefSeq, a predicted model, not a curated record
UCCACGCUUCACAACAAACCAAGCUAGCGUAGCUGCACGUAUGACUGCAGUUAAACACGAGUGAACAAACAGCGCUUUAGAUAGAGUUUGAGAUAAAACACAAACUCUACCAGCCUCGGAAUCGACGUUAGAUUUAAUAGCUAAACGUGGAUCAUGCUCAUUCGCAUGGAGGUGUUUUGACUUCAAAAACACUGGCGUCAGUCUAUGUUGGAAAGCGGUUAUCGUCAAAGACGGCUCGACAACGAAUUUGUUUCACCAUCUGUGAAUUAACCACCGCACAGAAUAUGAAGAAUAUGAAAAGACACGACCGGCCAGCUAAGGACUCCAGCAGGGCGGAGUCUUUGCUGGUGCCAUUGGAGCUGCCCACUGACUCAUGGCCGUUGCUCCCGUUACCGUGACUUCCGUUGCCGUGACUUUCAUUGCCGUGUGAUUCGGUCCCACUCCCACUGGACCCGCUGCUCUUCAUCUCCACGUCCUCCUCGGGGAGCAAAUGGGAGUGGGUGCUUUUGCGAUGGUUGUGCAUCGUGGCGGGCGGCUCCUGGCCGCUGCUGUCACUGCCCUCUGAGGGGAGGCCAAGUUCAGCACCACCUUGGCUGUAACCUCCUAUCCGGUGCAGCUGGGCCAUGGAGCUGCACCCAGAGGCCCCCCUUGUCAUGGAGCUGCUUGAGGUGGACACUCUGCACCCUGCGGAUCCAUCCUGGUCCUCCAGAAUCUGGAAGUGGUAGGGCUUUGAAUCUGAGUCGUCUGACAUGAGGAAAUGUCACGUCCUGGGCUUGUUCCAGGUGAGUUAAGUUGAUGAUCAAAAACACAAUUACCCCAUCCCCCACAAGGCUGUUGCAAGAGGGAAUGCAGAAGACAGUGGAUUGAUCUGUUAAGAAAGGGGAGAGCAUACAAUGUAAUUAAUUCAUUAAUCACUACAUAGCAACACAACCAGGUUAAUACAUUUCCAACAAAUGCAAAGCAUCCAUUUUAUUGCGUUAGAAUAUCGACUGUUGUGAAUGAACUAAUCAGCUAUGUGAAUAAUUGCAAUGCCUCCGGGGAGCAUACUUUGAUGCCGUACAAACAGGAAAUUAAAUUAAUGGUUUUGUGGAAGACAGAACCACAUAUUCAUUUAGUAAUCAUUUGCAAAAAACGCGCACAAAGUUCUGACCUCUGCAAACCCCUGCGGUUGCUUCUCUGAUGUACAGUAAAAAAAGGUUUGCUGGUGGAGACUUGGGCCUUUAGGAUCAGCAGACAUGUCCCGUCUGACAACCUUUUCCAACCUUUUGAAAAGGAUCAUAAAACACCUUGACACCAUUUAUGUGUACUCCACCAUGGGGCGACACCUGGGAGUUAGACCUGUUUUCUGUGGCCAGGUGAUCCAGCAGCCUACGGAAUACGAGUGUCGUUGUUUAUACGAACAUUAACAUUAGCAUUAACAGCGAGGUGUUUAAACUGGAAACUAACCAUUAUCAGAUGGAAAAACUUUGAACAUAUAAUGUUGAAAAGAAAUGCAUGGAAGCAAUUGGAGGAAUGUUCUGCUUCAGUCCAUAAUGCCACAGAAUUAUAGUGAUUAUACCAUUGUUCUGUGGUGUGUAUUUUUACUCUUGACACCUUUGCAGUAAAUGCACUACGGUGAAUUCCAGUCAAAUUUCCACUUAAUUCAAGUCAAACACAUUGGUCUGAAUUACUGAUACAGACACUAUUCCUGGAGCUGGGCAACAUAAAGUCAUAUGAAAGCCACAUAGCAUCUGAGUAUAGUUUCUGGGCUGGCUUUUUCCCUGGCAUAACUUGACUAACUGCUGACAUGCCAUUCUCUGCGUCAUGGAAAGUCUUUUUUCCCUCUCUUCUGUAGACACACAGCUGAACAAUACAGUUUACCUAAGCUCCAUGGUGAUGUGCAAGUGUUUAUUUAGUCAAGUCUUUAGACUAAAGCCCACACAACCACUUAAGCAUUUGUGACGUAGUUUUUUUUAUUUUUUUUUUACCUGCCAUGACUCUCACAUUGACACAGUUUUUUUUUUGUUUUUUUUUUAAAUUAGAACACCUGCAAAAUGCACUACUUGCUGCACGGCAAACACAAAAGUGCAACAUCAGACUACAUACAAGUAAUGCUAUGAACAUUUCACAUCCUAGAAAUCAUUUGAUAUAGAUUUCCAGUGAGAACUUGAUCCUGUCUGACUGUUACUGUGCUAAACCAAUGACUGCAGUAAAAUGUCUAUUAAUGAUCAACCUAUCUGAAGGACCACUGCCAGAUGGAAGCCAGGAGUGAGUUCAUUGUCCCGGCUGCUUAUCACUGACCUGUCACACAUGGUUGUUCCUACAGCUGUGAAAACUGGGUCAUCGCAUGUUCAAUGGAACAUAUAUGUAGUGGCAUAACAUAGUGGCCCCACUGUGAGUGAGCUUUGUAGAGCAGUGAGUUUGGCAAUGUCUUGCUGAGUAACGUAAAUAAAAAAACAGCAUAGAAAGUCCUAUGUCGCUACAUUUAGUAUAAUGCACUGCCAACCUGGGAGAUUGUGACUCAACAUUUUCAAAUAAAAAUCACAAUUUCAAACGACACAAUGAGCAAACUGCAUUCCAUCUUUCUAUUUUGUUGUAGGGUUGCGACAGUUAUUUGAUUUAUAAAAGACAUUAAGUAAAAGACUGAAUAUCUAGACUGAAUAUCUAGACCUAUAACUCUAAAUUUCAGUCUUGUCAUGGGUGAAAAAACACUGAAAUUUGUUUGUUACCCUGAAGAUUUUUAUGUCAGAGCAUUAUUUCGUUAUGCCAGUUUCUUUUCAAAUUUAUAAAAUCAAAAAAGAAAAGACAAGACAUUGGAGCUGUGGAUGGCACAGUGUGACUCAAAUAUUUACUGAAAACAUGUGAUGACAUAACAAACAUACAUAUGUCGUUUCUGUGUUUAUGGAAACAGCAUAGUCAGGGCGGGGUGUCACCUGACAAUGACACUGAAUUAAUUCAAUUCAUCCUAUUAAGCUGCUGCAGGGAAGGAAGUGGAAAAAAGAGUUGGGACACAGGGUAUCUGCACUGAACAGAUUAUGAAAUACUUGCUCACUGUAUACUCAGUUUGCAGUUUGUCCUCUCUGGAUUCUUAUCAGUACAGUCACAUAGUUUGGACUGAUAUGCAACCCUUGAGGUAACAAGUGCCUGUGAGUUAUCUCUUGUGAGGAAAUGACAGAGGCUGAUCUACAGCUUGUUCCUCCCUCAUUGACCUACAUCUAUAUGCACUGACAUAACAAACAGCUGUAAUGUACUCAAUGUACUCUUCCUUCCACCCACUUCAGCUAUGGACUGAAAAGAAAACAUAUAUUUCACACACAAACUGAUCUGGCGCUAUCCCGUGUGACAUACCAAACGUCGGACUGCUCUGCAACAUGAUCUGCUCUCAGAACUCCAAUUCAAACACAGAUAACCUCUGACCGAAGCGGAGUAGGAAAAGGCAUUUGCAGCCACCAUAUCGCAUGCCAAAAUGGUGGGUGGGGACAUUUGUACCCAGAGCGACUGCUGCAGCGAGAUAAGCAUGUUGUACACACGUCAGUAAGGUGAAGCUGAAUGUCUCUUGCCAUCCCAGAUGUGCAGCCAAUAUGCUCCAUGUCAUGAAGUUCAGUGUUACUAAUGCUAACAGCUGAACAUUUUUUUAUGACUAGGACUACGGGUAAAAUCAUAUUUAAAUGCCACACAGGAGAAUCAUUUGGAUCCAGAGCCAGUGGCCAGUAAUCAUGCACAAUGUGCCAUGAUUUUUAAUGAAUCAGUUCAUCAGUUUAUCAAGUAUAUGCAUAAAUGUACAAGGAAAACCUCCAAUAAAAGCUUAUCAUCCAAACUUAAAACAAACGCAAGUAUUUUUUAGUAUAGGAUCCGCUGAGGUGAUUAAAUAUAUAUGCAAUAUUUAUGAAUGACCAAUCAACAGUAUUUCCUCAUGAAAAUGAUAUUUGUUUUCACUGCUGCCAUUCUUUGUGAACUUGCUGCAACAUAAUAUGUUGUCAAAUAUUUAAUAACCUACAAGUUUUCCACAAUACAAGAGUUUUCAGUGGACAGUUAAUGAUUUUACAAAUGUCCCUAUGAGGUAGUGACUAUUUGCAUCAAUAAAGACAAACUCCCUUCAGUCUAUGCUAGGGGUGUGAAAUCAAGAGAAAUUCAAAAUCAGUUCCACAUGCUGAAUUUCAGUUAUUUAGGAUAAUCAUGAAUAGGGAACAUUUUAGAGACUGGCUAACCAACAUACAGUGAUUUACUUUGAAGUACCACAAGGGGGAGCUAGAGCCAAUCUCAGUUUACAUGGGGCGAAAAGUGGGCUAAACCCUGGAUAGUUUGGGGGUCCAUUACAGCGCAAACAUAGGAAACGAACAUCCAGCAAAUAAUCUCCAAUUAAAUUAACAUUUUUGGGACAGUGGGAGUGCCUGGAGAGAACCCACUUGCAAACGCGGAGAACAAACAUCACACAGAAAGGCCCUCGGUCCAACCGAGAUUCUGACCGGUGACCAUUUUGCUGUGAGGCAACAGUGCUAGCCACUACGCCACCAUGCGACCCUUUUUCCAGUCAUUCAAGGAAAUGAUGUAGGCAUACCCACAUUUGUGGCAUGGCUGUUAAACACAACUGCAGAAAAAAUGCAUGCGCAUCAUCACAAGAAAUAAUCAUCAACACAGAUUGGUACAUAACACAAUGUUCCAUUCUGUAGCCAAAUAUAUUUAAGUUUCCUUUAUAUAAUGUGUUGUCUCUAUGUUGUAUUGUGGUUUCUCAUGCAAGAAAGUACCAAAGCAAAUUCCUCGUAUGUUUAUUAAUUACUUGGCAAUGUUAUAAUAUUUGCUUAUUGAUAACAACUGAUGCACAAAUUGCUUAACCUGAAUUAACUUUUAUUGGAAGACACUUGGCUCUGCCUCCCCAAUCUACACUGCAGAACACUUAGAUGUAACUCUGUAUUAGAUUAUAUAAAAUCUAUAUAAAACACACAAAACAUAGAACAGAGAAAUAUCUGCAACUUUUUAUCUGUUCAGAUAUCUUGUUGUCGUUUUUAUGACAUAAUCAAUUCUGAGAGAGAUGUAUAUGUUGUCGUGUUAAUUUAGGAUAGUUAAAUUUAUACAUGUAUAUUGAAUGUAAAAAAAAAAAGCAGUGAACAGUGUGACAGGCAGCAUGUGAACUUGUGCUGCUGCAGUAAUGCAUUCUUUAUGUAAGGCUGAACAUGUGAGUUUUAGACUCUGGUUGUCUACAACUCAGCUCAGCAGCAUCGUGAUAUAGUAUUAUAUAUUAUAUUUUCAUAUUAUAUGAUCACAUGUAACUGUGUAAAUAUAAGUGGGGUAGCGCUGCUGUCACGUCCUGUGGGCAGGGCUGCAGCUGCAGUCCGCUGACUGUAGUCCAGUGACCAGGAUUGACCCGCUCACCCACUCUCUCGCUGCACUGACACAGUUAUGCAGCUUUCGCGCUUCACGUCCACGCAGCAUUAUAAAAAGAAAAACUCAGAGAAAGCAGAGCUCGUUCACUGGGUUGACGUCUCCGUCUUCGUUGUACAGCUAGUGUUAUAUAAAACAGCCUAAACUAGAGUAAAUAACGAGUAAAACUCUACCAACCUGACGUAAAAGCGGCGCCUCUGGAAACUGUGGAGUUAAUGAAGCGUUGGUUGUGGAGGUGACCGUCACUGAAGCCGCUGUCGUUUCGAGGUUCGUGUUUUGAUUCCGCUCUCUCCCACUUAAGUUCCCUUACACCGGGGAAUCUGUCCUCUUACUCUCCGGCAGACACUGACCUCAUUUCCAACACUAUCCCUAAGCGCCUCCCCAGCUCUGCGUCCAUUGGCUCGAAGAGCUGUCAGUCAAUGCGUCACGGCGCUUGGAGCCAGUCGGCGCCGACUGUCUCUCUUUUUUUUUUUACAUAAGGGUGUCACUACUUUCACGUGGAAACCCACGGCCACCGGCAGCAUGAGAGGGGCGGGAUCAAAUCACUCCGACGCAGCUGCCGGUGAAUGAAACGAUGCAAAUGAUUGGCUCGUGGCGGCUCAGCAGCGGCGACUGUUAUCUAAACUGUUAUACAAGUGUGUGUGUGUGUGUGUGUGUGUGUGUGUGUGUGUGGUCAGUGCGGUUUGAACUGCCUGGCGCAGACAUUAGACAAGUCCCUCGUAAAAAUGUGAUAUAACACAAUGUGUCUUUGAGUGUGACCAUUAUUUCAUUUACUGUCAUCUGACCUUACAUUAAAAGGUCAGUGCAAUGUUUCACCAGAGGCGGCCCAAGACAGUCAAUCAGACAAUCAUGCAGCAAAAGUUAUGCCAUUUUGGCAGUAAAUGGUGCUGUUUACAUCCAUAGACAUAUAUAUAUAACCGGUUGCACAUACCAAGCAGGUAGGCAGGCAACACAUGUACUUAUUUGAUUGUGUUUCAAGUAGGAAUAGCCGGUACUUUCCCUUGGGGUACCAGAGUAAUAGUAUGGUAUGGGUGGAGCCUCUGUAUGUGAUGCAUCUGUGCCGCUGCACUCACUUCUCACUACUUUCUAUUAUAAGUGUGUAAAUGUUGUACAUUACUUCAGUAUCUUAUCUUUAAAAUAAAACUUUUUAUUAUCAUGA